RNAcentral lists this ribosomal RNA (175 nucleotides) under Citrobacter freundii. RNAcentral's name for it is "partial 16S ribosomal RNA". It matches the Rfam family "Bacterial small subunit ribosomal RNA", at positions 1 to 165 of the family's 1533-position model. The record is from RNAcentral. Lineage: Bacteria; Pseudomonadati; Pseudomonadota; Gammaproteobacteria; Enterobacterales; Enterobacteriaceae.
ACUUAAAUUGAAGAGUUUGAUCAUGGCUCAGAUUGAACGCUGGCGGCAGGCCUAACACAUGCAAGUCGAACGGUAGCACAGAGGAGCUUGCUCCUUGGGUGACGAGUGGCGGACGGGUGAGUAAUGUCUGGGAAACUGCCCGAUGGAGGGGGAUAACUACUGGAAACGGUAGCUA